RNAcentral lists this ribosomal RNA (403 nucleotides) under uncultured bacterium. Its description in RNAcentral is "partial 16S ribosomal RNA". It matches the Rfam family "Bacterial small subunit ribosomal RNA", at positions 30 to 526 of the family's 1533-position model. The record is from RNAcentral.
AUUGAACGCUGGCGGCAGGCCUAACACAUGCAAGUCGAGCGAGCGGCGGCCGGGUGAGUAAUGUAUGGGGAUUGCCCGAUAGAGGGGGAUAACUACUGGAAACGGUAGCUAAUACCGCAUACUAUCGGAUAACCCAUAUGGGAUUAGCUAGUAGGUGAGGUAAUGGAUCACCUAGGCGACGAUCCCUAGCUGGGCCGAGAGGUUAAUCAGGCACACUGGGACGAAAGCACGGCCCAGACUCCUGCGGAGUCAUCGGUGGUGUAUAGUGCACGCAUGGCGCGAGCCUGAUGCUGCCGAGCCGGGUGUAUGAAAGGGGCCCUAGGGUUGUAAAGUGCGAUCAGGCUGGAAGCAUUACCGACAGGAGAGGCACGAGCUAACUCCGUGCCAGCAGCCGCGGUAAUUC